UUUCCUUGUGCACAUACACUCAUUUACUUGCGUUUGUUAUUUGGUUUUGAUUUAAUCAUUUCAUUAUCUCAUAUUCCCAUUCAACUAAAUGUACCCCCACUACCAUGAAGUGUAAUAAUUUUAUCACUUUAUUUUCUUGAUUGCUUUGUUUAGUUAGUCUCUAACACAAGAAUAAAAUCAACCCCUUUUCAAAAAGAAUAAAAAUAAAAACUUGAUCCAACAUCGAGUAUUUUCUCAAAGACAUCUCCACACCACUUC
This 258-nucleotide long non-coding RNA is filed under the name Lathyrus oleraceus (garden pea). RNAcentral's name for it is "Pisum sativum (pea) long non-coding RNA (PSAT_LNC036377)". Lineage: Eukaryota; Viridiplantae; Streptophyta; Magnoliopsida; Fabales; Fabaceae. The record is from RNAcentral.